GGGUUGUGAGGUUAAGCGACUAAGCGUACACGGUGGAUGCCCUGGCAGUCAGAGGCGAUGAAGGGCGUGCUAAUCUGCGAUAAGCGCCGGUAAGGUGAUAUGAACCGUUAUAACCGGCGAUACCCGAAUGGGGAAACCCAGUGUGACUCGUCACACUAUCAUUAACUGAAUCCAUAGGUUAAUGAGGCGAACCGGGGGAACUGAAACAUCUAAGUACCCCGAGGAAAAGAAAUCAACCGAGAUUCCCCCAGUAGCGGCGAGCGAACGGGGAGGAGCCCAGAGCCUGAAUCAGCAUAUGU
Molecule: ribosomal RNA, 299 nt
Filed under: Salmonella enterica subsp. enterica serovar Enteritidis str. 3402
Lineage: Bacteria; Pseudomonadati; Pseudomonadota; Gammaproteobacteria; Enterobacterales; Enterobacteriaceae
Description: partial 23S ribosomal RNA
Rfam family: Bacterial large subunit ribosomal RNA
Source: RNAcentral